UAUAAAUGCGAAUAUUUGUUUGGAUAUGAUUUUUUGGAUUUUUUUACCCUUUUACGGCGAAACUAGUUUUAUUAAUCAAAAUUAUUUUUUAAAAAAUUUAAAUUAGACUAUUUAGGAGAACAUAUUGGUUACAUGGUCGGUGAGUACAUACCAGCUGCCAAUGCAUAAGAUUUCAUGUAUACUCAAUACAUACAUAAUUACAUUACCUAUAUUUACAUUUUUAAAUAUAGGUAAGACAAUGUAUUUUAAAUAAAACUAAAAAUUAUCUCAUUUAAAAUUCCAAAUUGUUGACGAUUUUUUGCUAUUUCAAUCUAAAAUUUGAAUAAUUUUUAUUAAAAAUACUAAUUUAUUUUUUUACAUUAUAUAUUAUUGUUUUUAGAAAAAAAAACACUUGUCAUUAAAGAUGAAAUCGAAGACGCGUGUAAGUUUGUUAUUAAUUAAAUUUGUUUAUAAAUUAAGGAACUAUUAUGGUGGCUCUCACUCUCUCAUAUAUCUGCAUAGUUUCAACCACAUUACAACAUUUAACAACAAAUUUAAUAAAUUAAUAUAUUAUUGUCUAUCUAAAAAGUGAUACGUGAUUUAGAUGGUAAGUGUAAACUUUGAAACAUAAAUUGCACCAAAAUAAAAAUUGAAAUACUUUAAUUUUCACAAAAAAUUAUCUUUUUUUGGAAAAUUUAAAAAAUAAUAAUUAUAUUUUUAUAUAAUAUUCUUCACUGGGUAUACAUUUUUCUAGUGAAAAGAGAGAGAUCUACAUUAUCCUACGACAGUUUUUUUUUUUUUUUUUGUUAUAUGUAUAAACGCUGAAACUCAAAAAUCAUAAUAAUAAAAAAAUCAAUCUUCGUACAAUAAGUACAAUGUCUAAAUGUGAGCCCCAUUUACCGAAUUUUUAAAAAUAUCUCCAAGUAGGUUUUAAGACAAAUAAAGUACAAACAAAACCAUAAUUAUUGCGAAUAUUGCAUCAUUAUAAUACUAAUUAUUGUUUUCAUAUUUAAUUGUUUUAAUUUUUCAAAUUAUGAAAUCAUUAUACCUUCACCUAAAAUAUACAUUUCAAAUAAAGUUUUUAUAAAUGUUUUAUUUUCUUAUUAAAAUGUUUAUUAUUAUCUUGAUCAUAUCAUAUUUUAUACAUUCGUCAAAAGACAUGAAAAACUACGCAG
Non-coding RNA from Cinara cedri, 1154 nucleotides. The record is from the annotation of a GenBank genome assembly. Lineage: Eukaryota; Metazoa; Arthropoda; Insecta; Hemiptera; Aphididae.